GUUAUGGGGCAAUGUGGGGCACUAUGGGGUGUGUUAGGGCAGUUAUGGGGUGCUGCGGGGCGCUAUGGGGCAGGUUAGGGCAGUUAUGGGGCGAUGGGGGAAGCUGUGGGGCAGUUGUGGGGCGCUAUGGGGCAGAGCAGUGAUCCCCUCCUGCCCCACAGCGAGCGAUCGGGGCCUGGUUGCGGCGCGGCUUCGAUGGAGUCUUCCUGGACGGCAUCGAGGAGCUGAAGGUGUGGGGCUGACUUGUGGGGCGCUAUGGGGCGGGGCUGUGGGGCUGCGCUUUUAGGGCGCUAUGGGGUGGGGCUGUGGAGCGCUAUGGGGCUGUGCUGUGGGGCGUUAUGGGGCGGUGCUGUGGGGCUCUCUGGGGCGUUAUGGGGCGGUGCUGUGGGGCGCUAUGGGGCAGUGCCUUGGGGCGGUGCUGUGGGGCGCUAUGGGGCAGUGCCUUGGGGCUGUGCUGUGGGGCGCUAUGGGGCGGUGCUGUGGGGCGCAGUGGGGCGCUAUGGGGCCACGCCACGGGGCUGUGCUG
RNAcentral lists this long non-coding RNA (526 nucleotides) under Numida meleagris (helmeted guineafowl). Its description in RNAcentral is "lncRNA (ENSNMEG00000002936.1)". The record is from RNAcentral. Lineage: Eukaryota; Metazoa; Chordata; Aves; Galliformes; Numididae.